CUCUAUCUCUUUAUAACAUUACUCUUUCUAUUCUUUCAUAUUCUUUAUAAACAUAAGGACCAUACAUCAAGUCCAUCUAUCAUCAUGUCCAUAUAUCAUCAUGUCCACAACUAAACUAUACAAGCAUACAAGCAUUCAUAGCAUUACAUAACAUAUCAUCUCUUUAGCAACUUACAUCACAUACUAUCUCCAUAAACAUAUACAAUAAGCAUCUCUUAUACAUAAACAAAACACAACUAAGCUAUGCUAUUACAACCAAACAUGGCAACCCAUGCUUGAACCUCUUCUAUCCCAUAGUUCUUCUGACUUACUCUGGCUUGACAUACUCUGGCCCUGCAAGACUGGGGUUAAGGGAAUGGGGUGAGCUACAAGAGCCCAGUGAGUAGAAACAGAGAAAACAGUUCAUUUUAUUAUUCAUUAUGUAUUUAGUUCCUCCAUUUUUAGGUAUGUUAUUAUUCAUUCUAUUCUUUCUCUUUCUUUAUGCUUUCAUGAAAUGCGCCAUAGCACAAACAUUUCACAACAAGGAUGAACUUGUCACCAUUUAGCCCCUAUCAUUCUUACUUAUACAUGCCGGGGGCGUAGAGCCGUAGCAGGCACACCCAGACUACCAUAAUCAGUCAUAGUACCAGGGGCGUAGAGCCGUAGCAGGCACACCUGGGCUCACAUAGGCUAUCAUGACAUACAAGGGCUAAUGGAUCAUUCAACAUUCAUCCACAUCAACAACAUAGUAUGCAAUGCGUCACCUUCGUGAAACUAGUGCAAUCAUCCUAUAACAUAUAAACAUGGUGCAUGGGCAUGGUGAACUAGUGCAAACAUCCUAGUACAUAACAUGAUGUAUGAGUUUAGGCAUUAGAUUUUCUUAAAGUAAAAGAUUAAGUUAGUUCUACUCACCUGAAGCCACUGCUCAACAAACUCAGGGUCAACUAGCACUGAAGCUAGACACCUCUCCUCAGGUCCACUCCUACACAGAUGGACUCACAUGAGGUACUAAACACAUGCUAACAACUCAUAAGCAUACCCCCUAAAACCCCUCUAAACAUCACUUAAACAUGCAUAGAAAACAGCCAUGAAAAGGCUGGACAGGCACUUUCGGCGGCACCUUCGGCGGCCGGAAGUCUCCCUCCAGAGACGAAACUCGGGUAGGUUCGGCGGCACCUUCGGCGGCCGAACCCUCACUCCAGAGACGAAAGUCAGGCACUUUCGGCGGCCGAACAUUACCUUCGGCGGCCGAAAGUCUGCUUUCAAGCCACAACUCAACUUUCGGGGGCAAGGUUAGGCGGCCAAACCUAUGCAUCCAUAGGCACGUUCGGCGGCCGAAACCACCUUCGGCGGCCGAACCUGAGUUCAUCAGAACUCAGCCUUCGUGCAUACCAGCCUCCUAAACCUCACAAAACAACCCCAAACCUCACAUACUCUCUCCCAAGCAUGCAUACACACUCCCACAAGCAAAGAGAGCAAAGAAACUAACUUAAACUN
This 1476-nucleotide long non-coding RNA is filed under the name Manihot esculenta (cassava). Its description in RNAcentral is "long non-coding RNA (MESC_LNC009489)". The record is from RNAcentral. Lineage: Eukaryota; Viridiplantae; Streptophyta; Magnoliopsida; Malpighiales; Euphorbiaceae.